RNAcentral lists this long non-coding RNA (2627 nucleotides) under Olea europaea subsp. europaea. The record is from RNAcentral. Lineage: Eukaryota; Viridiplantae; Streptophyta; Magnoliopsida; Lamiales; Oleaceae.
CAAUGGGUAGCAAUGGUUGUAUAUAUAUUUUGUGAUUUUCGAUGCUUGAGAUACGGCAUUACUAACUUCGUCAAGCUUAUCAAUAUCAUAAAACAUUAGAUUAAUGCAAUGAGCUGCACAUGAUAACCAAAAUAAUGUUUGAAACUCUCACUCUAAUAACCUACCAGUGGCAACAUAGUUUGCAGUGUUGUCCGUCACCAUAUGAACCACAUAUUCAAGACCUACAAAUAACACAACAUCUCGGAAUAACUUGUAUAACAGCACUUUUUGAUUCAUCUGAAGCAUCUACAGAUUUUAAGAAUACUGUUCCUUUUGGACAAUAAACUAAAAAAUUAAUAAGAGUUCAUUUACAUUGAUUUGUCCAACCAUCUACCAUAAUUGUACAACCAGUCGUCUUCCAUGUUGAACGAUAGCUUUUAACAUAAUUCUGUACCUCUUCAACAUUUUUAGCCAACAAAUAACUACGAAGACUGUGAAAGUUCGGACCUUUAUAGCCAGGGUCUAUGCUAGCUAUAACAUCUAUACUUUGUUGAUAAUACACAGAAUUCACAGCAUUGAAAGAAAUACACGAAUCAAUCAUCCAUUUCGAUAUAGUGAGAUCACAUUUCUCUGUAGCUUCUUUGCUUUGAAGAACACUUUUAAUAGUAGGUUGAUUACCAGGUCCUAUUCUUGGCAUGAAGUAAGAACUAAUUCCUUUUCCUUUUCCUUUUCUUUGACUUUUCUCAAUAGUUAUAUCAUUUCCUUUAGAAUUAGGAGGGAUGAUCUCUUGCAUAUCAUCACCCAGAUCUCUAUACAUUUGCUCUUCUUGUUCCCAAUAAUAAGAGCUAUGUAGGUUACACUCAUCAAGAACUUCUUGAGUUUUACGCUUCUUUGUAGCAAAGAUGUCCAAGUUUUCUUUCAUUUUAAAUCUAUCAUCAGGAGGUACUCUACGACAAGAAUUUACAUCACCUUUUAAUCCCGCUAAGUGUUGUUGGACUCAAUUAAUACCACCUCUAUCGAAAGUCUUUCCACAAUACAAGCAAACAAGUUUUUUUUUUUUUUUUUUUUAAUUUCCAUUAUUACCAGCUUUUAAAACCUCUCUACAAUGGCCCCAUGCUAUAUCAGUUUGUCCUCUUGCACGAUUCUUUGUUGAAAAAGAACUAUGCAGUGUACUAUUAACACCAAUUAACUAUACAAAGAAAACAAGUUCAAUUACAAAGAUUUAAUAUUCACUAUUAAAUGACAUUGCAAUAGUGAUAAGAACCAAUUCAUAUGGGAAAUUUGUUGUCAAGUGUUAAGCUCAUAUCUAACAAGGAACUAUGUUAUACCUCCAUUAUCAACAGUGCUCGUAAUAACUUGCUACUAACUUUCUAUUAUGCCCCGAGUAAUGGAAUUUUUUUCUUUUUGGCAAAUUAUGCAUACUGAGUAACUUGUGAUCACAUGCAGGUUCUUGUUUGCUAGAUUAACAAAAUUCUGCACUAUCUUAGAUAGUUAUGGAGAGACGCUCAUUUAACACAUCUCAUAUUUCUGAGAGUGAUAAUGAUCGGGGAUGGAAUCAUGCAGAACAAUCUUACAUGCAUUUGAUAUAAAUAUUAACUUUACCUUCCAUGACACUAACUGCCUGCUUGUUAUAACAAAGCUAACAUUUACAAAUAAUUAUCUUAGAGUAUCUGCAAAUUGAUGCCAGUGACACCUGUGACUUAUUUAUAUAGAAAAUGAUUUCGCUACUCUUGUUAGGGGAGUUAAAGCAUUGAGUAAGUUAUUCUUCUGGGUAGGACCAUCCAUUGCAUCUCAAAUUCUAUGUCAAUGUCUCUAACAGGAACCAGCUCUAAGCAUCUUGACAAUAAAGAUCAGCAAUAUUUUAGUCUCUAACAGGUGCUGGUAAUAAGUAUUUUCGUCUCUAACGGGUACUCUUGAGACUACCAAUAUUUUAGCAAAAUCAACAGCAAAGCAGAAAAUGGUUCUACAAAAUCACCAAUCAAAUAAUUAACACCUCAAACUGAGUAGAUUUAAAGCCUUUCACCAAUCAAAAUUGAUAUAAGAUGAAAGACUAACCUUGAAUCUGUCUUCAACAGAUUUCAUGGUUCAAGAAAUACAUGGAAUGGACAAUGAAUGUACAUUAGUAAGAUGAUAAAAAUCUUUCCAAUUCUUGUAAACACUAACUCAAGCGAAUAUAAAGAAUAGCAAAUUAUUAUGUAAAUUUAAUUCCAAAUCCUAAAGCAAAGAAUCCGAAGCAGUCCACUGCAAUUCUGAAAACCAACUAUAUCUUGUUCUAAAAACAAGAUUCACCGUAGGAAUAUUUUUAUGCAAUUAUGCUUUGUAAGAAUCUUAAAUUGCACAAAAACAACAAUAUAUUGUUCUAAAAAUUUUGAAAUCCACCACAGGAAUAUUUUCAACUAAUCAAUCAAAAUCUAUUUCUACUGGCUUCAUACUAACCUCUUCUUCUUCCAUCUCUUAAGACUUCAAAUUGGAGAUUUGGAUUUUUUUGGGAGUGAUUAAGUAGCAAACGGUAGUGAAGCAGUCAGAUUUUGGAAUGAAGAAUAAGACUUUCCUAGGUAACGUGAAUUGGGGAUUUGGAAAACAAGGUUUUAAAGCAAAAGAAAUAACCCAGUUGGUUCAAUUGCAAAUGGGUCGGCAGUUGGGCUAAA